CAUGCCGUAAACGUUGGGUGCUAGACGUGGGGGCCUUUCCACGGUUUCCGUGUCGUAGCUAACGCAUUAAGCACCCCGCCUGGGGAGUACGGCCGCAAGGCUAAAACUCAAAGGAAUUGACGGGGACCCGCACAAGCAGCGGAGCAUGUGGUUUAAUUCGAUGCAACGCGAAGAACCUUACCAAGGCUUGACAUCCCUCUGAAGUAUAUAGAGAUAUAUACGGCUUUUAGGAGACAGAGGAGACAGGUGG
Molecule: ribosomal RNA, 250 nt
Filed under: uncultured bacterium
Lineage: Bacteria
Description: partial 16S ribosomal RNA
Rfam family: Bacterial small subunit ribosomal RNA
Source: RNAcentral